This 430-nucleotide ribosomal RNA is filed under the name uncultured bacterium. Its description in RNAcentral is "bacterial SSU rRNA". It matches the Rfam family "Bacterial small subunit ribosomal RNA", at positions 958 to 1393 of the family's 1533-position model. The record is from RNAcentral.
AACGCGAAGAACCUUACCUACCCUUGACAUGUCCGGAACCCUGCUGAGAGGUGGGGGUGCCCGAAAGGGAAUCGGAACACAGGUGCUGCAUGGCUGUCGUCAGCUCGUGUCGUGAGAUGUUGGGUUAAGUCCCGCAACGAGCGCAACCCUUGUCCCUAGUUGCUACGCAAGGGCACUCUAAUGAGACUGCCGGUGACAAACCGGAGGAAGGUGGGGAUGACGUCAAGUCCUCAUGGCCCUUAUGGGUAGGGCUUCACACGUCAUACAAUGGUCGGUACAGAGGGUUGCCAAGCCGCGAGGUGGAGCCAAUCCCACAAAGCCGAUCGUAGUCCGGAUUGUUCUCUGCAACUCGAGAGCAUGAAGUAGGAAUCGCUAGUAAUCGCAGGUCAGCAUACUGCGGUGAAUACGUUCCCGGGUCUUGUACACACGC